GUCGUAAACAAGGUCUCCGUUGGUGAACCAGCGGAGGGAUCAUUACCGAGUGUAAAAACUCCCAAACCAUUGUGAACUUACCACUGUUGCUUCGGCGGCCUCGCCCCGGGCGCGUUCGCGCGGCCCGGACCCAGGCGUCCGCCGGAGGCUUCAAACUCUUGUCUUUUAGUGUAUUUCUGAGUGGCAUAAGCAAAUAAAUCAAAACUUUCAGCAACGGAUCUCUUGGUUCUGGCAUCGAUGAAGAACGCAGCAAAAUGCGAUAAGUAAUGUGAAUUGCAGAAUUCAGUGAAUCAUCGAAUCUUUGAACGCACAUUGCGCCCGCCAGUAUUCUGGCGGGCAUGCCUGUCUGAGCGUCAUUUCAACCCUCAGGACCCGUUCGCGGGACCUGGCGUUGGGGAUCAGCCUGCCCCUGGCGGCGGCUGGCCCUGAAAUACAGUGGCGGUUCCCUCGCGAACUCCUCCGUGCAGUAAUUAAACCUCUCGCGGCAGGAUAGCGGUUGAACCACGCCGUUAAACCCCCCACUUCUCAAGGUUGACCUCAGAUCAGGUAGGAAUACCCGCUGAACUUAAGCAUAUCAAGU
Molecule: ribosomal RNA, 580 nt
Filed under: uncultured fungus
Lineage: Eukaryota; Fungi
Description: eukaryotic LSU rRNA
Rfam family: 5.8S ribosomal RNA (bases 203-356)
Source: RNAcentral